RNAcentral lists this ribosomal RNA (484 nucleotides) under uncultured Streptococcus sp. Its description in RNAcentral is "bacterial SSU rRNA". It matches the Rfam family "Bacterial small subunit ribosomal RNA", at positions 902 to 1382 of the family's 1533-position model. Lineage: Bacteria; Bacillati; Bacillota; Bacilli; Lactobacillales; Streptococcaceae. The record is from RNAcentral.
CAAAGGAAUUGACGGGGGCCCGCACAAGCGGUGAGCAUGUGGUUUAAUUCGAAGCAACGCGAAGAACCUUACCAGGUCUUGACAUCCCUGACAACCCGAGAGAUCCGGGCGGUUCCCCCUUCGGGGGGACAGGGUGACAGGUGGUGCAUGGUUGUCGUCAGCUCGUGUCGUGAGAUGUUGGGUUAAGUCCCGCAACGAGCGCAACCCCUAUUGUUAGUUGCCAUCAUUCAGUUGGGCACUCUAGCGAGACUGCCGGUAAUAAACCGGAGGAAGGUGGGGAUGACGUCAAAUCAUCAUGCCCCUUAUGACCUGGGCUACACACGUGCUACAAUGGUUGGUACAACGAGUUGCGAGUCGGUGACGGCGAGCUAAUCUCUUAAAGCCAAUCUCAGUUCGGAUUGUAGGCUGCAACUCGCCUACAUGAAGUCGGAAUCGCUAGUAAUCGCGGAUCAGCACGCCGCGGUCGAAUACGUUCCCGGGCCUU